UACGGAGGGUGCAAGCGUUAUCCGGAUUUACUGGGUUUAAAGGGUGCGUAGGUGGGUAGGUAAGUCAGUGGUGAAAUCUCCGAGCUUAACUCGGAAACUGCCAUUGAUACUAUCUAUCUUGAAUAUCCUGGAGGUGAGCGGAAUAUGUCAUGUAGCGGUGAAAUGCGUAGAUAUCAAGAGGAACACCUGAGGUGAAGACGGGUUGCUGGGCUGACACUGACGCUGAGGCGCGAAAGCCAGGGGAGCAAACGGG
Molecule: ribosomal RNA, 253 nt
Filed under: uncultured bacterium
Lineage: Bacteria
Description: partial 16S ribosomal RNA
Rfam family: Bacterial small subunit ribosomal RNA
Source: RNAcentral